UAAGGGCGCACGGUGGAUGCCUUGGCACUAGAAGCCGAUGAAGGACGUUACUAACGACGAUAUGCUUUGGGGAGCUGUAAGUAAGCUUUGAUCCAGAGAUUUCCGAAUGGGGAAACCCAGCAUGAGUUAUGUCAUGUUAUCGAUAUGUGAAUACAUAGCAUAUCAGAAGGCACACCCGGAGAACUGAAACAUCUUAGUACCCGGAGGAAGAGAAAGAAAAUUCGAUUCCCUUAGUAGCGGCGAGCGAAACGGGAAGAGCCCAAACCAACAAGCUUGCUUGUUGGGGUUGUAGGACACUCUAUACGGAGUUACAAAGGACGACAUUAGACGAAUCAUCUGGAAAGAUGAAUCAAAGAAGGUAAUAAUCCUGUAGUCGAAAAUGUUGUCUCUCUUGAGUGGAUCCUGAGUACGACGGAGCACGUGAAAUUCCGUCGGAAUCUGGGAGGACCAUCUCCUAAGGCUAAAUACUCUCUAGUGACCGAUAGUGAACCAGUACCGUGAGGGAAAGGUGAAAAGCACCCCGGAAGGGGAGUGAAAUAGAACCUGAAACCGUGUGCUUACAAGUAGUCAGAGCCCGUUAAUGGGUGAUGGCGUGCCUUUUGUAGAAUGAACCGGCGAGUUACGAUUUGAUGCAAGGUUAAGCAGUAAAUGUGGAGCCGUAGCGAAAGCGAGUCUGAAUAGGGCGUUUAGUAUUUGGUCGUAGACCCGAAACCAGGUGAUCUACCCUUGGUCAGGUUGAAGUUCAGGUAACACUGAAUGGAGGACCGAACCGACUUACGUUGAAAAGUGAGCGGAUGAACUGAGGGUAGCGGAGAAAUUCCAAUCGAACCUGGAGAUAGCUGGUUCUCUCCGAAAUAGCUUUAGGGCUAGCCUCAAGUGAUGAUUAUUGGAGGUAGAGCACUGUUUGGACGAGGGGCCCCUCUCGGGUUACCGAAUUCAGACAAACUCCGAAUGCCAAUUAAUUUAACUUGGGAGUCAGAACAUGGGUGAUAAGGUCCGUGUUCGAAAGGGAAACAGCCCAGACCACCAGCUAAGGUCCCAAAAUAUAUGUUAAGUGGAAAAGGAUGUGGCGUUGCCCAGACAACUAGGAUGUUGGCUUAGAAGCAGCCAUCAUUUAAAGAGUGCGUAAUAGCUCACUAGUCGAGUGACACUGCGCCGAAAAUGUACCGGGGCUAAACAUAUUACCGAAGCUGUGGAUUGUCCUUUGGACAAUGGUAGGAGAGCGUUCUAAGGGCGUUGAAGCAUGAUCGUAAGGACAUGUGGAGCGCUUAGAAGUGAGAAUGCCGGUGUGAGUAGCGAAAGACGGGUGAGAAUCCCGUCCACCGAUUGACUAAGGUUUCCAGAGGAAGGCUCGUCCGCUCUGGGUUAGUCGGGUCCUAAGCUGAGGCCGACAGGCGUAGGCGAUGGAUAACAGGUUGAUAUUCCUGUACCACCUAUAAUCGUUUUAAUCGAUGGGGGGACGCAGUAGGAUAGGCGAAGCGUGCGAUUGGAUUGCACGUCUAAGCAGUAAGGCUGAGUAUUAGGCAAAUCCGGUACUCGUUAAGGCUGAGCUGUGAUGGGGAGAAGACAUUGUGUCUUCGAGUCGUUGAUUUCACACUGCCGAGAAAAGCCUCUAGAUAGAAAAUAGGUGCCCGUACCGCAAACCGACACAGGUAGUCAAGAUGAGAAUUCUAAGGUGAGCGAGCGAACUCUCGUUAAGGAACUCGGCAAAAUGACCCCGUAACUUCGGGAGAAGGGGUGCUCUUUAGGGUUAACGCCCAGAAGAGCCGCAGUGAAUAGGCCCAAGCGACUGUUUAUCAAAAACACAGGUCUCUGCUAAACCGUAAGGUGAUGUAUAGGGGCUGACGCCUGCCCGGUGCUGGAAGGUUAAGAGGAGUGGUUAGCUUCUGCGAAGCUACGAAUCGAAGCCCCAGUAAACGGCGGCCGUAACUAUAACGGUCCUAAGGUAGCGAAAUUCCUUGUCGGGUAAGUUCCGACCCGCACGAAAGGCGUAACGAUUUGGGCACUGUCUCAACGAGAGACUCGGUGAAAUCAUAGUACCUGUGAAGAUGCAGGUUACCCGCGACAGGACGGAAAGACCCCGUGGAGCUUUACUGUAGCCUGAUAUUGAAAUUCGGCACAGCUUGUACAGGAUAGGUAGGAGCCUUUGAAACGUGAGCGCUAGCUUACGUGGAGGCGCUGGUGGGAUACUACCCUAGCUGUGUUGGCUUUCUAACCCGCACCACUUAU
RNAcentral lists this ribosomal RNA (2229 nucleotides) under Staphylococcus aureus. RNAcentral's name for it is "partial 23S ribosomal RNA". It matches the Rfam family "Bacterial large subunit ribosomal RNA", at positions 12 to 2239 of the family's 2925-position model. The record is from RNAcentral. Lineage: Bacteria; Bacillati; Bacillota; Bacilli; Caryophanales; Staphylococcaceae.